CUCGGGGUGUCGGGCGGUGUCCGCGCCCCUCCCCACCCCAGGGCCCUUCUCGGGGGAGAUAUCCAGGAGCUGAAAGAGAUUCCUCAGGAGGAAGUGGAAACCUCUGAAAGGAGAGGAAACCGACUCUUUUGCAAGAAAACUGAGCGCCGGCUGGAAGGCCUAAGGAAAGCAGCCGAUGGCUCCCAAGACAACUCUGUCCGGCCAGUACUCCAGGGCAACUUCAACCCCACUAGGACCCAGGCCAAAACCAUAUAUAUAUAUAUAUAUAUAUAAAUUAACGCAAAACAGAGCCACUUUGGUGCCUACCCCUCCACAAGUAGGUAGGCACAUCCAGGUAGCUCUGUCAGAAGAUGGGACCUGGCGCCUUGCAGGGGUAGCCCUAUGGAGAUCCAGAAGCCCCGUUUCGAGCUACGAAGUCUCUCUUCUACUGCAGUCUUCUCUCCAACGUGGAGAUCUAGCAACUUCCCUCCCCCUGGGAUUCCCUGUGAAUCCACUCUAGUUGGGAUAUAGCCUCUCUACAGCUCAGUGACGUAGCGCGCCAAAACCAAGUACCCACCCCGGCAACUGGAAGACCUAGCUGUCCUCCAUCCCGCCUCCGCAGUCGAUAAUCUCCAGGAUCCAAGCAAAGUGCCUGUCCACGUUGUCACCAGAUCCACAAGCGCUUUUGAUGAGAGCUGCUACCCUUUUGGAAACACGAUUCCCUCUCCCUAGUAGAGAAGAAUCUAUUCUUCUGGGCUGGCGUAGACAAAGAAUAACCAAGAUAAAGUAUGUGGUGUGAAAAUAUCAG
This 787-nucleotide long non-coding RNA is filed under the name Homo sapiens (human). Lineage: Eukaryota; Metazoa; Chordata; Mammalia; Primates; Hominidae. The record is from RNAcentral.